UCCGUUGUGGUCUAGUGGUUAGGAUUUAUGGCUCUCACUCAUAAGGCCGGGGUUCGAUUCCCCGCAACGGAA
Transfer RNA from Caenorhabditis elegans, 72 nucleotides. NCBI's taxonomy places the organism in Eukaryota, Metazoa, Nematoda, Chromadorea, Rhabditida, Rhabditidae. The record is from Ensembl.